Molecule: ribosomal RNA, 404 nt
Filed under: Actinomycetes bacterium
Lineage: Bacteria; Bacillati; Actinomycetota; Actinomycetes
Description: Actinobacteria bacterium partial 16S ribosomal RNA
Rfam family: Bacterial small subunit ribosomal RNA
Source: RNAcentral
UGGGGAAUAUUGGACAAUGGGCGCAAGCCUGCUCCAGCCAUGCCGCGUGAGUGAUGAAGGCCCUAGGGUUGUAAAGCUCUUUCACCGGUGAAGAUAAUGACGGUAACCGGAGAAGAAGCCCCGGCUAACUUCGUGCCAGCAGCCGCGGUAAUACGAAGGGGGCUAGCGUUGUUCGGAUUUACUGGGCGUAAAGCGCACGUAGGCGGACUAUUAAGUCAGGGGUGAAAUCCCGGGGCUCAACCCCGGAACUGCCUUUGAUACUGGUAGUCUUGAGUUCGAGAGAGGUGAGUGGAAUUCCGAGUGUAUAGGUGAAAUUCGUAGAUAUUCGGAGGAACACCAGUGGCGAAGGCGGCUCACUGGCUCGAUACUGACGCUGAGGUGCGAAAGCGUGGGGAGCAAACAGG